RNAcentral lists this long non-coding RNA (523 nucleotides) under Mus musculus (house mouse). RNAcentral describes it as "predicted gene, 46416". The record is from RNAcentral. Lineage: Eukaryota; Metazoa; Chordata; Mammalia; Rodentia; Muridae. RNAcentral also lists the same sequence under 1 other name.
CUGCUCUUCCUCCGUAGCGCCCUUGCGUCUUCGCUGCAGCAGCUUCUGGAGCUGAGGUCCCAGCAGUGUCCCUCAGAGCCAAGCCCAGGACCCAGCAGAACCACGACCCAAGGUAGGACUACAGCUCCCCAGAUCCCCCCUCCCGCUGACGGCCGGGGACAUGUCGCCGUUGCACCAGGGAUGCGGCCCCUCACCAGUAGCUGCCGGCGCUGCCGCAACGGCACAUAGGGUACGUAGUCCUCGUCGUCCUCAUCCUCGUCCUCGGAGCGGCUCCCACCCGCGGUCGCCUCGUCCGCGCGUGCCCGCUGCGGAGACCCGAGUCAGCCGCGGCCCCUCCCCCUGCCCGCACCCCCUCGCGUGGACCAAACCUCAGUCCCACCUUCCGCUCCGGUUCCGAAUCCUCCAUCUUAGGCUGCACACAUGCGCAAUGCCAGGGCAUCUGAGCUCCAAUCAGAUAGGAAAAACUGCUGUGGUCGCCUAGCAACGGCGUGAGCGCCGGAUCGCGAACCGGGACAAUCUUCUU